AGUAUCCAUCGUGAUAUUUUAAACAGUCCAUAAAGCACUCAGGACGGCCCUGAAAGAGAGGGGCCGUAGUAGGGUGCUUCCAUAUCGGGCAUUAAUAUGAGAAUGACCCUUAAAUGCAUUUAGGACCAUAUUUUAAUUUUUGGGUUCCCAGGUGCACGUUUUCAAUCACCAGGUGCACGGAUGUAUAGGGUCCCCCAUGGAUAAAAGGGCCGUAGUAGGGUGCUUCCAUAUCGGGCAUUAAUAUGAGAAUGACCCUUAAAUGCAUUUAGGACCAUAUUUUAAUUUUUGGGUUCCCAGGUGCACGUUUUCAAUCACCAGGUGCACGGAUGUAUAGGGUCCCCCAUGGAUAAAAGGUCCGUAUUAGGGUGCUCCCAUAGCGGGCAUGACUUUUUGGAACACCGCUCAUGUAAUUUUAGGUUCCCAGGUGCACGUUUUCAAUCACCAGUUGCACGAAAAAAAUAAAAUAUUAAACCUUCCAUAAAUCACUCAGGGCGGGCCCCCAUUGAUAGAGGGCCGUAGUAGGGUGCUUCCAUAGCGGGCAUGGGUAUCUGGAACACCGUUAAGUCAUUUAGAACCGUAUUUUAACUUUUGGGUUACCAGGUGCCUAUUUUCAAUCACCAGGUGCACGGCUGUGAAAAGUGGGGACUCUGUCAUUUUUUCGACCGAUUUCUGAAAUUUUCAAAAAAUGAUUAAAAAUACUUCCCGAAGGGCCAGAGGUCCCAAAUUUCGUGUCAUACCCUCUCUCGUGAUGGGCAACAAUUCCAGCAUAUAAAAAAGAUUUCGCAUCCACAGGCACCUAUGUUUCUGGUAGAAUUCACUUUUUCCCAAAAACGUAAAUCACGAUUUUCUAUUAAAAUGUUUUAUACAAAAACGUUUUUAAUUAAAUGGAAAUGCUCGUCUAUUUGUGCCCUUU
Long non-coding RNA from Oncorhynchus tshawytscha (Chinook salmon), 913 nucleotides. Lineage: Eukaryota; Metazoa; Chordata; Actinopteri; Salmoniformes; Salmonidae. The record is from Ensembl.